GAUGAACGCUAGCGAUAGGCCUAACACAUGCAAGUCGAGGGGCAGCACAAGGUAGCUUGCUCUCUGGGUGGCGACCGGCGCACGGGUGCGUAACGCGUAUGCAACUUGCCCUAUACAGGAGGAUAACCCGUCGAAAGACGGACUAAUACUGCGUAUGCUCACAACUUGGCAUCAAGUGGUGAGGAAAGAAAUUCGGUAUAGGAUAGGCAUGCGUCCCAUUAGCUUGUUGGUGAGGUAACGGCUCACCAAGGCAACGAUGGGUAGGGGAACUGAGAGGUUUAUCCCCCACACUGGUACUGAGACACGGACCAGACUCCUACGGGAGGCAGCAGUGAGGAAGAUUGGUCAAUGGGCGCGAGCCUGAACCAGCCAAGUCGCGUGAAGGAGGACUGUCUUAUGGAUUGUAAACUUCUUUUAGACGGGAAUAACAAGAGUCACGUGUGACUCCCUGCAUGUACCGUAUGAAUAAGCAUCGGCUAACUCCGUG
This 487-nucleotide ribosomal RNA is filed under the name uncultured bacterium. RNAcentral's name for it is "partial 16S ribosomal RNA". It matches the Rfam family "Bacterial small subunit ribosomal RNA", at positions 28 to 507 of the family's 1533-position model. The record is from RNAcentral.